GUGUGUGUGUGUAUAUAUGGUUGGGCAGUGUAUGCAGUGUGUGUGUGUAUAUAUAUGGUUGGGCAGUGUAUGCAGUGUGUUUAUAUACACACACACAUACACACUGCAUACACUGCCCAACCAUAUAUAUACAC
Molecule: non-coding RNA, 134 nt
Organism: Pelobates cultripes (western spadefoot toad)
Lineage: Eukaryota; Metazoa; Chordata; Amphibia; Anura; Pelobatidae
Source: the annotation of a GenBank genome assembly